Non-coding RNA from Pogona vitticeps (central bearded dragon), 2081 nucleotides. Lineage: Eukaryota; Metazoa; Chordata; Lepidosauria; Squamata; Agamidae. The record is from RefSeq and is a predicted model, not a curated record.
AGGAAAACGCCACAAAGACAGAAGCAGGCAAGAACACCACCACGUCUUCCGAGAGUGAAAAGGUCAUUCCUCCCAAGGAGGACAACCAAGAAGCAGGAGCAGAUAAAGUUGAAAAACCUAGUCCAGUCGAAGAACCACCAACAGAAGAACAUGCACCACUGGAGGAUGAACCAGGCACAGGCCAGCAAUCCAAGAGAUUUGAAAGAAGGGAAGAUAGCAAAACCAAUGAUGAAUUAUAACACUUCCCUAAGUCCCUGUGCAUCCACAUCUAUUUAUUUACAAUUAACUCCAUUGUUUUUAAAAUGGACUUGGUUAGUGGAACACGGCACAAACUGACAACAAACUGCAAUCGAGUUGCUCUAUCUCCCCGCCCCUCCGCCCCCUUUUUUUCUGUUGGAUAUCCUUCAUGCUGAUUUUGGUGUGUUGUCCUGUCUCUUUGCCUUCUUUGUUUUAAUAUGACUUUUGAACUCACUGGAAACUCUGCUGUGUUUUUCACGGCACUCUCCCUGAAUAGCCACUUCUGAUUUUUAGUGAACAUCUACCUGAAACUGUUCAGGAACCCACAUGGCUUGGGCUAUAUUUUGUGAAGAGCAGUGUACAUUCCUGCAACUUUUCUCCCUGCAAAUGGGAGCAACUAAUUCAAACCUUCCGCUUCAGCCUCAUUAUAGUCUUAUUCUGAUGCACAGACAAGGCCUCCUUAGUCUAGGCUCAUUGAUGCCAGUUUUAUGUCCAUGAGCCUUUUGCAACAGAAACCACUAAAACCAAAGCAAAGGAUGUAGAAAAAGUGGAUAAUACUUGUAAAACCAAAAUGCAUAAACAGAUACAUACUAAAUCCCCUCAAAUCGUAUCUCAGUACUUAGAUAAAGCAUAGCAAUUGUGGUCCUCAGUAAGGCCGCAUAGUGAGAAUAGCACCCACAUACCUGCUUUCCUUCGCCAGUGACUGACCUCAGCAAAACUCACCCAGUGCUAGAUGCCUUGAAGGAGCUCAUGUGACUAUGUUGGUGUUAAUGAGAGUGGUGGCUGCUCUAUCCAGCUGAAAUAAAAACAGCAGUCCUUUUCAAGUUUAUAUUGUUACACAUUUUCUUUACCUAGAUGAUUUGUUUCUUAAGCUUGCCGUUUCUGCCAUCCAAUAGAUUUCAUAGGAACACUGGGUGCUGUUCUAAACUUUGGCAUUUCCUCGUGCUAUUUAUGUUCUUUGGGGGUUUGGGACGCCAGCUUACAAAAUGUGCUGUGUUUAAGUGUUUGUGUGGUUUAUUUUCAAUUACCAUACCUUGCUGCUGAAUUUCUUGUAUCAACUAGCGAGUAGAGUGGGUGGGAUAAUUUUGACUAUAAGGUAUAAAUGUGCUGAUGCUUCAGUUUUCAGAAGCAUCAAUUAAUCCACCAGCUCAUAUGUUAAAGUACAUGUCCAAAGGCAUCAGGGUGGAAAAAAGAACAUAGUCCAACCCUCCUUCUUUCAUUUUCCCUAAAUUUUGCCUUAUCCCACCAAAGUAAUCCUUAAACUGUUCACCAAGGGGUAUCUUUUUGGUUUCGUCUUCAAUGCUGCUACCAGUAAUUCAUCAGCCCAGGGCAAAGACUGCAUCCUGAUCUCUAAAAUCUGUUUGGAAAAUAUGUAAAGAUUUUGGCAAGUAAAGUGUAAGACUUGCUGGCCUGACCCUGCAGCUUUAUCUCUUUUGUCCUCUGUAUUUAAGGACAUGUUAAAUGCUAUAAGUUCCCAGAGCAAGGUAUGUAGGAAAAAUUAUAAAUGGUGUGCUACACAUUGUUAAGUCCCCUUCAUUCCAGUUAGGUUUAUGUUUGCUCAAUGAUUGGAAAUUCUAGUUUGCUAACUUUUCCAUGCCAGUUUUUCAAAAUAUGAGUGUUAUGUGUAUUGACAGAUGUGUGAGCACACGAGGCUUUGUUUCUGUUGAAAUACACAUAAGAGUCCUUGGGUUUUAUAUGAGUGGAAUUCCAGAACUAAUUAGGGGGUAAAAAGUUUCUGCAUACCUCUGUUUUGGACAGAACGUGCAUUCUACUGUGAAUCCUGAUAAAAAAAUUGAAUCUGAAUGUAAAAUUCUUGAGUUCUUGUAAAAUGCUUUUCCUGGAUA